RNAcentral lists this ribosomal RNA (492 nucleotides) under uncultured bacterium. RNAcentral's name for it is "partial 16S ribosomal RNA". It matches the Rfam family "Bacterial small subunit ribosomal RNA", at positions 29 to 507 of the family's 1533-position model. The record is from RNAcentral.
AGUGAACGCUGGCGGUAGGCCUAACACAUGCAAGUCGAACGGCAGCACAGUAAGAGCUUGCUCUUACGGGUGGCGAGUGGCGGACGGGUGAGGAAUACAUCGGAAUCUACUUUUUCGUGGGGGAUAACGUAGGGAAACUUACGCUAAUACCGCAUACGACCUACGGGUGAAAGCAGGGGAUCUUCGGACCUUGCGCGAUUGAAUGAGCCGAUGUCGGAUUAGCUAGUUGGCGGGGUAAAGGCCCACCAAGGCGACGAUCCGUAGCUGGUCUGAGAGGAUGAUCGGCCACACUGGAACUGAGACACGGUCCAGACUCCUACGGGAGGCAGCAGUGGGGAAUAUUGGACAAUGGGCGAAAGCCUGAUCCAGCCAUACCGCGUGGGUGAAGAAGGCCUUCGGGUCGUAAAGCCCUGUUGUUGGGGAAGAACAGCAGCAGGUUUAUCUCCCGCUGUUCUGACGGUACCUAAAGAAUAAGCACCGGCUAACUUCGUG